AUUGAACGCUGGCGGCAUGCCUUACACAUGCAAGUCGAACGGUAACAGGUCUUCGGAUGCUGACGAGUGGCGAACGGGUGAGUAAUACAUCGGAACGUGCCCGAUUGUGGGGGAUAACGAGGCGAAAGCUUUGCUAAUACCGCAUACGAUCUACGGAUGAAAGCGGGGGAUCUUCGGACCUCGCGCGGACGGAGCGGCCGAUGGCAGAUUAGGUAGGUGGUGGGAUAAAAGCUUACCAAGCCGACGAUCUGUAGCUGGUCUGAGAGGAUGAUCAGCCACACUGGGACUGAGACACGGCCCAGACUCCUACGGGAGGCAGCAGUGGGGAAUUUUGGACAAUGGGCGAAAGCCUGAUCCAGCCAUGCCGCGUGCAGGAUGAAGGCCUUCGGGUUGUAAACUGCUUUUGUACGGAACGAAAAGCCUCUUUCUAAUAAAGAGGGGUCAUGACGGUACCGUAAGAAUAAGCACCGGCUAACUACGUG
Molecule: ribosomal RNA, 482 nt
Filed under: uncultured bacterium
Lineage: Bacteria
Description: partial 16S ribosomal RNA
Rfam family: Bacterial small subunit ribosomal RNA
Source: RNAcentral